AAGGUCUUCGGAUCGUAAAACUCUGUUAUUAGGGAAGAACAUAUGUGUAAGUAACUGUGCACAUCUUGACGGUACCUAAUCAGAAAGCCACGGCUAACUACGUGCCAGCAGCCGCGGUAAUACGUAGGUGGCAAGCGUUAUCCGGAAUUAUUGGGCGUAAAGCGCGCGUAGGCGGUUUUUUAAGUCUGAUGUGAAAGCCCACGGCUCAACCGUGGAGGGUCAUUGGAAACUGGAAAACUUGAGUGCAGAAGAGGAAAGUGGAAUUCCAUGUGUAGCGGUGAAAUGCGCAGAGAUAUGGAGGAACACCAGUGGCGCCCCGACUUUCUGGUCUGUAACUGACGCUGAUGUGCCGAAAGCGUGGGGAUCAAACAGGAUUAGAUACCCUGGUAGUCCACGCCGUAAACGAUGAGUGCUAAGUGUUAGGGGGUUUCCGCCCCUUAGUGCUGCAGCUAACGCAUUAAGCACUCCGCCUGGGGAGUACGACCGCAAG
Molecule: ribosomal RNA, 490 nt
Filed under: Staphylococcus aureus
Lineage: Bacteria; Bacillati; Bacillota; Bacilli; Caryophanales; Staphylococcaceae
Description: bacterial SSU rRNA
Rfam family: Bacterial small subunit ribosomal RNA
Source: RNAcentral